AAGACCUACAGAAUGAGAACCUGUGGGGGGACCCGAAGGUGUGGGAUGCUCACUUGAGGUGAGUUCAGCGGGUGCCUGCCUGAGCUUACUCAACUGGUGGAAAUGAUUGGCUAAUACCAGAUAUGUUACCAUAAAAAGUGGGUCUGGACUUGUAUGGGAGCAGUUAGUCAUUUAAUGCCUGCAGAUAAAGUCACGCCCUCUGGAAUCCUGCAUUUUCAUCGUCACCAUCACCACCACCACCAUCUUCAUGGAUACUCUGUGACGGGCUCGGCGCAGUGUGCCGUCUGAUCCCUUCAGCACCUGUGAGUCUCAAUGCUCCACCUGUUCCUUUGAGAGUUGAUCCUCCCACCUCCUACCUUGUGAUUUUGACUGGCCAUCGAUUACAGUACAUCAUGUGCCCUCAUUCCAGGGAGGUCCAGGGUUCAGUUCUGACCCCUUAGUGCUCCAUCUCCAGGGACCAGCCCCCAACUCACACCAGAGCUCGUUCAGGUCCUUUCCUGCUGCUGAGCCCCUGCCCCAGACUGUCCUCACUCACCUGCACGGCCCAGGGCAGCCCAGUCCCGACUCCCGCGGUGUGCAGUCCCUCCAUGGUUUGCCUGGGGUCUCACUGCACCCCUGCCAAGAGGCUCUGGAAGGUGGCCUGGAGCUCCUGGGUGGACGUCUGCAGCUGAGAUUUGUGGGGAACAGCCUCUCCCUCCCUCUCCCCACAAGUCUCUUCAUUGGUGCCCGCAGAGCCCUAGAGGGCCGUUUGUCGCUGAGGAAAGCCAGCUUCAAGCCUAGCUCACCACAACUUAGCUGGAAGAUCCAUCCUCUAACUUCAGAUGGAGAUGCCUCUGUUGGAGCCCAGGCGUCAGCUGAUGGAUAGAGACAGCGGCCACAGGCACCCAGGGCUGUGCCACCAGCUCAUGACGCCUGCCCAC
Long non-coding RNA from Manis javanica (Malayan pangolin), 920 nucleotides. RefSeq lists it as uncharacterized. Lineage: Eukaryota; Metazoa; Chordata; Mammalia; Pholidota; Manidae. The record is from RefSeq and is a predicted model, not a curated record.